UGGCGGCAGGCCUAACACAUGCAAGUCGAGCGGAUGAGGGAAGCUUGCUUCCUGAUUUAGCGGCGGACGGGUGAGUAAUGCCUAGGAAUCUGCCUGUUAGUGGGGGAUAACGUUCCGAAAGGAACGCUAAUACCGCAUACGUCCUACGGGAGAAAGUGGGGGAUCUUCGGACCUCACGCUAACAGAUGAGCCUAGGUCGGAUUAGCUAGUAGGUGAGGUAAUGGCUCACCUAGGCUACGAUCCGUAACUGGUCUGAGAGGAUGAUCAGUCACACUGGAACUGAGACACGGUCCAGACUCCUACGGGAGGCAGCAGUGGGGAAUAUUGGACAAUGGGCGAAAGCCUGAUCCAGCCAUGCCGCGUGUGUGAAGAAGGUCUUCGGAUUGUAAAGCACUUUAAGUUGGGAGGAGGGUCUGUAAGUUAAUACCUUGCAGUCUUGACGUUACCAACAGAAUAAGCACCGGCUAACUCUGUGCCAGCAGCCGCGGUAAUACAGAGGGUGCAAGCGUUAAUCGGAAUUACUGGGCGUAAAGCGCGCGUAGGUGGUUUGGUAAGUUGAAUGUGAAAGCCCCGGGCUCAACCUGGGAACUGCAUCCAAAACUGCCUGACUAGAGUACGGUAGAGGGUGGUGGAA
Molecule: ribosomal RNA, 634 nt
Filed under: uncultured bacterium
Lineage: Bacteria
Description: bacterial SSU rRNA
Rfam family: Bacterial small subunit ribosomal RNA
Source: RNAcentral